GACGAACGCUGGCGGCGUGCUUAACACAUGCAAGUCGAACGGAAAGGCCCUGCUUUUGUGGGGUGCUCGAGUGGCGAACGGGUGAGUAACACGUGAGUAACCUGCCCUUGACUUUGGGAUAACUUCAGGAAACUGGGGCUAAUACCGGAUAGGAGCUCCUGCUGCAUGGUGGGGGUUGGAAAGUUUCGGCGGUUGGGGAUGGACUCGCGGCUUAUCAGCUUGUUGGUGGGGGAGUGGCUUACCAAGGCGUUGACGGGUAGCCGGCCUGAGAGGGUGACCGGCCACAUUGGGACUGAGAUACGGCCCAGACUCCUACGGGAGGCAGCAGUGGGGAAUAUUGCACAAUGGGCGGAAGCCUGAUGCAGCAACGCCGCGUGCGGGAUGACGGCCUUCGGGUUGUAAACCGCUUUCGCCUGUGACGAAGCGUGAGUGACGGUAAUGGGUAAAGAAGCACCGGCUAACUACGUG
This 468-nucleotide ribosomal RNA is filed under the name uncultured bacterium. Its description in RNAcentral is "partial 16S ribosomal RNA". It matches the Rfam family "Bacterial small subunit ribosomal RNA", at positions 28 to 507 of the family's 1533-position model. The record is from RNAcentral.